UUCCACACUGCAUUUCCAGAAUGUCACAAUCAGAUCACAUCGACGAAAUCACAUGAAUGCAGCAGAAUAUAAUUUCAAAAGAACAUCAUGAUUUUAAUAUAAAAUUCUAGCACGUGGUGUCAACAAGACUAAAGAUUCAAAAAUGACAUUUUUGUGAGCUGUUUGUGAAUUGAAUAGUUGAUCAAAUAAUAUUUACAGCUAUUUGAUUUGAUAGGAGAACCAUUUAUAACAGUUUUCAAAGGUGUGAAUAAUGAAUUUAAGAAAUUAUGUGGAAUUGGCAAUGGCUAGUUCCAAAAAAAUGGUGGUUAGAUAUUUUUGAAAAAUUGAAUGGUAAAAGGUUCACUUAAAAGUUGGGAAGCCCUACAGCCUACCAACCAGUCCAAACAGCUAAGUGUAUUCUAUACUCAGUGCCAAUAAAGUCUCAGGUACCUAUCUUUAAAGCCUGCUCGUGAAUUGUCAAUGGCAAUAUUUGGAGCUGAAUUUUUAAGUUCAUAAAUUUCACAUCUUUAGGAUUCAAACUGUUUCAAAUGUUUUUCAGAUAUUUUUAAUGAAAAACAAGAUGCUUAAAUGAUAAAUAUACGACCAUAUAAAGAAAACCUGCUGAAAGUG
RNAcentral lists this unclassified non-coding RNA (609 nucleotides) under Hevea brasiliensis (rubber tree). Lineage: Eukaryota; Viridiplantae; Streptophyta; Magnoliopsida; Malpighiales; Euphorbiaceae. The record is from RNAcentral.